RNAcentral lists this long non-coding RNA (3014 nucleotides) under Nicotiana benthamiana. RNAcentral describes it as "long non-coding RNA (NBEN_LNC025410)". The record is from RNAcentral. Lineage: Eukaryota; Viridiplantae; Streptophyta; Magnoliopsida; Solanales; Solanaceae.
CCCCCCCCCCCUCGCGUUCACGAUGCACAAAAAUUCCUCAGAUCAAAUUAAGCCUUCGCAAAUGUAUCUGGUCUCCCGCGAACGUGAAGGCGCAGGGCACAGACAUAUGCGAACUCGACCUAUUGAACAGGAACGCGUUGAACACCCAGACUGACCCUCUACUUUACUCUACGUGAACGCGUGCCCCAUCCCGCGAACGCGAAGCGCCAAUGCCUCAACCUACGCGACCACGUUGAUCAUUUUCCUGACCUCCAAAAUUAACCCUACGCGAACGUGACACUUGCCACGUGAAUGCGAAGGCUUAAAAAUAGUCUACACUGCUGUUGCAUUUUCUGCAACACUCAAAGUCCAAAAAUCCUUCUGUUAAUCACCCGGAAUCACCCCGAGGCCCAAGGGACCUCGACCAAAAACACCAACAUAUACCAAAACAUCAUACAAACUUAUUCCAAUCAUCAUAACACGUCAAACAACACUAAAAUCAUAAAUUCACAUAAGAUUCAAGCCUAAGUUUCUUCAAAACUUCCGAAUUGCACAUUCGAUAAAAAACCCGACCUAAACACCUCCGAAUGACCUGAAAUUUUACAUAGAUAUCCAAAAUUACCUAACAGAGCUACUGUAACUCUCGAAAUUCCAUUUCAAGCCUUGAAUCAUAAUCUCACCUAUCAAUCGGAAAUCGCCAAAAUUUAAACUUCGCCAAUUCAAGCCUAAUUCUGCAUCGGACCUCAAAAUUCAAUUCCGAUAGCACUCCUAAGUCAUAAUCAUCCCCCGAAGCUAAUCAAAUCAUCAUGAUUCACAUCUGAGCCCUAUAACUAAAUAGUCAACUUCCAGUUGACUUUUCCAAAGUAAGCUUCCCUUUAAGAGACUAAAUGUCUCAUUUUCAUCUGAAACCAAUCCAAUUCUACCUGAUAAACUCAAAUACUGAUAUUGAAACAUAGAUAAGUAUAAUAUGAGGUAAACAAGGCGGUAACUCACGUGACAACGGGCCGGGUCAUCACAAAAUAUAGUCUCGAGUUGAUUACAAUGAGCAAGCAAUUAAAUCACAGAACACUAAUCAGAAAUGUGACAGGACUAUUGAAAUUACGAAUCUACAUUAGAGAAUCAUCAUCAAUUCCAUUUCAUAUCUCAACAUGUGAAGCUACAUGAUAGAGUCUCGAGGUAUGUACCUAGAAUGAGAAAGGAAUAGAAAAUGAGCAAAUCAACAGCAACACAGGACUUAGCAAAAGCUCCAGAAAUCCAGCAAGGGAUAACGGGGUCUCGAAAAAUAAGUAAUUUCUGCUGGGCCUUUAUCCUUUUUGUAGGUUCAUUAGGCUUCUUAUUAGUUGGAACUUCCAGUUAUCUUGGUAGAAAUUUGAUAUCUUUUUUUCCGCCUCAGCAAAUCAUUUUUUUUCCACAUCUGCUGGGCCUUUAUCCUUUUUGUAGGUUCAUUAGGCUUCUUAUUAGUUGGAACUUCCAGUUAUCUUGGUAGAAAUUUGAUAUUUUUUUCCCGCCUCAGCAAAUCAUUUUUUUUACUUAAAGUAGACUCUUAAACACCCAAGAGUGCUUCAGUGAUCAACAAUCACUAAAACUGGCUCAAAAUUGAUCCGUUUGAACCCAAAUCAACUAAAAACCAAAUCAGAGAUCAUUGUGGACUUUAAUUACUAGAAUCUGAACUAAGAGAAGUCAAUCAAUCACAACAUUUGAAAUUAAACUUGAGGAAUAGAUGGAAAAGUACUAUUUUUUGGGGUUUUCAGCUUUUGUAUAUAUAUUUUUUGAUUUUUUUAGGUUGGAAAAAGGGAUUUCAAACUUUGAGAUCUAGAAUUUAAAAUCUGAAAUUCAAAUAUUUCAAUCCGGAAACUAUGGCCUAUUUGUUGGGAAUUAGAUGACUGAAAAAAGACCCCUCACCAAGGCAAUUGUGAUGCAUUUUAUAGGCAUCCAGAAGAGAGCAACAGACUUCAAAAUUUCUUUUAGGUCCCUGUUAAUUUUCCACUUUUAGUCCCUGUAUUUUUAACUUGGGACACAAGGACCUACCACUAUCAAUCUAAACUUUUAACUACCACUCAUCCUAGAAGCUUCUAGUAAUUUCCAAAUUCAGUCCCCAAAUGAAAUCCCCAAAUUAACCCUUUAUUAACUAAUUAUACUUAGGAUUGACCCACUAACUCUAAUCAACUAAACUAAACAUGGAUGUACUAAACUAUAACUAAAAGUUAUCUGACAAAAAAAAAAAGAAUUAAUCACAGAAUUUGUUCAAUUAUUAACCAACUCGAUCAACAAUAAAAAGUAUACCACUAUAUUAGUCUAACAGAACUAAGCAUAGAGGUCAAGCUAAACUAGAAAACAUUUAAAAGACAACUACCAUAUUGAACUAAUCGGAACGAAUAGUUAGCAGGCGAUAGUUAAACUAAAAAUCAAAACCUAUCGGACCCUAAACAUUAACUAAUCAUGCAAACUAAUUAUUGUCAAAAUAAUUCUAACACUCUAAUUGAAUCCACAUGCUAGCAAGAAAAAUAGGGAUAUAAGAGUGACUGAAAAAGAAAUAAAAAGGAAGGGAACAAACUUACUAAACAAAAUCCGUCCAGUUCAUCAAUUCUCUAAUUUGGCCAUUUCCGAUGAAAUUCGAGCUCUAAUGGCACUAAAAUCUUUAUGAGGUCAGUCCAGGAACCCUAUCAUAUCUCAUUUGGUAAGGAUUGGUUAUUUAAGUUUUGGCUAGAGAAUCUAAAAAUAUAAAUUCGAGAAUUUACAGUGAGAUUCGAGAUGUGUGGUUAUGAGGGUUGGGUAGAGAACGAUAAGGAGAACCUAUGGUGUGAAUUUGGGAUAAGUGACAUCAUGGCCAAAAAACUUUAAAUGGAUAUUCGAUGAGCUCUAGUGGGAUUUGAAAGAAACAAGCAACAUAUUCGAGUAGAGGAGGCGGAGAGGAAGUUAGGGUGUUAUUUUGGGGUGGUUUGGAGGUGGUAACGUUCACCGCCGGCGGCGACUUCCGGCGGCGUUACAGAGAUACGAGGAAGACGACUUAUGUAUUAGGGUUAGUUAAUUUUUUU